UACAGAGGUGGCAAGCGUUGUUCGGAAUUACUGGGCGUAAAGGGCGAGUAGGCGGCCUUCUAAGUCAGACGUGAAAUCCCCCGGCUUAACCUGGGAACUGCGUCUGAUACUGGGAGGCUUGAGUAUGGGAGAGGGAUGUAGAAUUCCAGGUGUAGCGGUGAAAUGCGUAGAUAUCUGGAGGAAUACCGGUGGCGAAGGCGGCAUCCUGGACCAUUACUGACGCUGAAUCGCGAAAGCGUGGGGAGCGAACAGG
Molecule: ribosomal RNA, 253 nt
Filed under: uncultured bacterium
Lineage: Bacteria
Description: partial 16S ribosomal RNA
Rfam family: Bacterial small subunit ribosomal RNA
Source: RNAcentral